UACAGAGGUCCCGAGCGUUGUUCGGAUUCAUUGGGCGUAAAGGGUGCGUAGGUGGCGCUGUAAGUGGGGUGUGAAAUCCCGGGGCCUAACUCCGGAACUGCAUUCCAUACUGCGGUGCUUGAGGACUGGAGAGGAGACUGGAAUUUACGGUGUAGCAGUGAAAUGCGUAGAGAUCGUAAGGAAGACCAGUGGCGAAGGCGGGUCUCUGGACAGUUCCUGACACUGAGGCACGAAGGCCAGGGGAGCAAACGGG
This 253-nucleotide ribosomal RNA is filed under the name uncultured bacterium. Its description in RNAcentral is "partial 16S ribosomal RNA". It matches the Rfam family "Bacterial small subunit ribosomal RNA", at positions 524 to 776 of the family's 1533-position model. The record is from RNAcentral.